CGGGGAUUAGCUCAGUGGUAGAGCGCUUGCCUAGCAAGCACAAGGCCCUGGGUUCGGUCCCCAGCUCCGA
This 70-nucleotide transfer RNA is filed under the name Rattus norvegicus (Norway rat). It matches the Rfam family "tRNA". From Rfam's summary of the family: Transfer RNA (tRNA) molecules are approximately 80 nucleotides in length. The record is from Rfam by way of RNAcentral. Lineage: Eukaryota; Metazoa; Chordata; Mammalia; Rodentia; Muridae.